GUGGGGAAUAUUGGACAAUGGGCGAAAGCCUGAUCCAGCCAUGCCGCGUGUGUGAAGAAGGUCUUCGGAUUGUAAAGCACUUUAAGUUGGGAGGAAGGGCAGUAAGUUAAUACCUUGCUGUUUUGACGUUACCGACAGAAUAAGCACCGGCUAACUUCGUGCCAGCAGCCGCGGUAAUACGAAGGGUGCAAGCGUUAAUCGGAAUUACUGGGCGUAAAGCGCGCGUAGGUGGUUUUGUAAGUUGGAGGUGAAAUCCCCGGGCUCAACCUGGGAACUGCCUACAAAACUGCAUGACUAGAGUACGGUAGAGGGUAGUGGAAUUUCCUGUGUAGCGGUGAAAUGCGUAGAUAUAGGAAGGAACACCAGUGGCGAAGGCGACUACCUGGACUGAUACUGACACUGAGGUGCGAAAGCGUGGGGAGCAAACAGGAUUAGAUACCCUAGUAGUCC
Molecule: ribosomal RNA, 450 nt
Filed under: uncultured bacterium
Lineage: Bacteria
Description: partial 16S ribosomal RNA
Rfam family: Bacterial small subunit ribosomal RNA
Source: RNAcentral